This 82-nucleotide transfer RNA is filed under the name Echinostoma caproni. It matches the Rfam family "tRNA". From Rfam's summary of the family: Transfer RNA (tRNA) molecules are approximately 80 nucleotides in length. Their secondary structure includes four short double-helical elements and three loops (D, anti-codon, and T loops). Further hydrogen bonds mediate the characteristic L-shaped molecular structure. tRNAs have two regions of fundamental functional importance: the anti-codon, which is responsible for specific mRNA codon recognition, and the 3' end, to which the tRNAs corresponding amino acid is attached (by aminoacyl-tRNA synthetases). tRNAs cope with the degeneracy of the genetic code in two manners: having more than one tRNA (with a specific anti-codon) for a particular amino acid; and 'wobble' base-pairing, i.e. permitting non-standard base-pairing at the 3rd anti-codon position. Lineage: Eukaryota; Metazoa; Platyhelminthes; Trematoda; Plagiorchiida; Echinostomatidae. The record is from Rfam by way of RNAcentral.
GCCUUCGUAGCUCAGCUGGUAGAGCAUGCGCGUACAAAGUGUAGGUAGUGUCCAUGCGUGGGUUCGAAUCCCACCGAGGCUA